UGGGGAAUUUUGGACAAUGGGCGCAAGCCUGAUCCAGCCAUGCCGCGUGUGUGAAGAAGGUCUUCGGAUUGUAAAGCACUUUAAGUUGGGAGGAAGGGCAGUUACCUAAUACGUGAUUGUUUUGACGUUACCGACAGAAUAAGCACCGGCUAACUCUGUGCCAGCAGCCGCGGUAAUACAGAGGGUGCAAGCGUUAAUCGGAAUUACUGGGCGUAAAGCGCGCGUAGGUGGUUAGUUAAGUUGGAUGUGAAAUCCCCGGGCUCAACCUGGGAACUGCAUUCAAAACUGACUGACUAGAGUAUGGUAGAGGGUGGUGGAAUUUCCUGUGUAGCGGUGAAAUGCGUAGAUAUAGGAAGGAACACCAGUGGCGAAGGCGACCACCUGGACUGAUACUGACACUGAGGUGCGAAAGCGUGGGGAGCAAACAGGAUUAGAUACCCCCGUAGUCCCUG
RNAcentral lists this ribosomal RNA (452 nucleotides) under uncultured bacterium. Its description in RNAcentral is "bacterial SSU rRNA". It matches the Rfam family "Bacterial small subunit ribosomal RNA", at positions 355 to 799 of the family's 1533-position model. The record is from RNAcentral.